RNAcentral lists this ribosomal RNA (524 nucleotides) under uncultured bacterium. RNAcentral describes it as "partial 16S ribosomal RNA". It matches the Rfam family "Bacterial small subunit ribosomal RNA", at positions 28 to 523 of the family's 1533-position model. The record is from RNAcentral.
GACGAACGCUGGCGGCGUGCCUAAUACAUGCAAGUCGAACGAAGCUGUUUUAACUGGUGCUUGCACCGACUUAAACAACUGAGUGGCGAACGGGUGAGUAACACGUGGGUAACCUGCCCCAAAGCGGGGGAUAACAUUUGGAAACAGAUGCUAAUACCGCAUAACCACAGAAACCACAUGGUUUCUGUGUAAAAGAUGGUUUCGGCUAUUCAUUUGGGAUGGACCCGCGGCGUAUUAGAUAGUUGGGAAGGUAAUGGCUUACCAAGGCAAUGAUACGUAGCCGAACUGAGAGGUUGAUCGGCCACAUUGGGACUGAGACACGGCCCAAACUCCUACGGGAGGCAGCAGUAGGGAAUCUUCCACAAUGGACGAAAGUCUGAUGGAGCAACGCCGCGUGAGUGAAGAAGGUUUUCGGAUCGUAAAACUCUGUUGUCAGAGAAGAACGUGUGCGAGAGUCACUGCUCGUGCAGUGACGGUAUCUGGCCAGAAAGCCACGGCUAACUACGUGCCAGCAGCCGCCGUAA